CGGCGGACGGGUGAGUAACGCGUGGGUAACCUACCCUGUACACACGGAUAACAUACCGAAAGGUAUGCUAAUACGGGAUAAUAUAUUUGAGAGGCAUCUCUUAAGUAUCAAAGGUGAGCCAGUACAGGAUGGACCCGCGUCUGAUUAGCUAGUUGGUAAGGUAACGGCUUACCAAGGCGACGAUCAGUAGCCGACCUGAGAGGGUGAUCGGCCACAUUGGAACUGAGACACGGUCCAA
Molecule: ribosomal RNA, 238 nt
Filed under: uncultured bacterium
Lineage: Bacteria
Description: partial 16S ribosomal RNA
Rfam family: Bacterial small subunit ribosomal RNA
Source: RNAcentral